Molecule: long non-coding RNA, 903 nt
Filed under: Cyanistes caeruleus (blue tit)
Lineage: Eukaryota; Metazoa; Chordata; Aves; Passeriformes; Paridae
Description: lncRNA (ENSCCEG00000020364.1)
Source: RNAcentral
AAAUUGCUUUUAGGAGUUCACAGCAUUUUGAAACCGGGACACUUGACAUGGAAAAGUGAACAUGUUAACCUGAAGUAAAGGUUUAGAACAAAUUGUUUUUGUGAAGUGUCAUUUAUACAAAGAGCUGAUUAAAAAGAAAAAAAAAAAAAAAAAAGGAAAAAAGGCCCUGAAUGAGAAGAACACAACAGAAGAAAACUUCCAGUGUGAUUCAGUAACACUUCCAAUGUAAUGCUGGGCUACAAACAACCUGCAAAAAUUGGGACCUUGCAAACACCUAUCAACAUUCAUAUAACUGAAGACCAGUUUUUUAAAACGGAGAGCUUUCCCUACUGACUUACUAAAAGGUAUCUAUGUUAGUAGUGGUUUUAGAACUGUCUGCUCCAUCAACUUCUCAACACACUGCACCUGAUCCCAGGUACUUGGGCAACACAACCAACGACAGGCUGCAAGGCAGAAUUGUUGCCAAGUAUGCAAUCCGAAGAAUAAUGAAACAUGCAGGAGUUUAAAGUUCACAGACAGCACAAAUUUCUGGCAUGUAAGAAAGUUUUAAAAGGGGGUUCCAAGCCAAACCAGUGCCAAGGAAGAAGCAAGCUCAUGGAAGAGCAGAGUAUGUGGCUGGCAGUACUUCUGAACUCAACUUUGAGAGAUUUUUGGGACAAGACCUGCCCAGAUGAACACAGGCACCCCUGGGAUGUUCCCUCUGUUCACCUUUGGAGUGUCAGUGGUCUGGGAUUGCUUCUGGGGAUGCUGCUCUCAAGGAGUCAGGAUUGCCCCGGCCACUUAUCCCAAGCUGAUCUCUGUCCUGGCAAGUGGCUGUGGGAUAAAAUUUGCUCACUACGUGCUCACUGGCAGAGAAACAAGGCUGAUAAAAGGAAAGAUGCUGCGAAUGCACGGCUUAAAUGA